GGGUCGAUGAUGAUACCUCAUACUGUCUCGAAGAGAGAUGAUGACUUAAAAAUCAUGCUCAAUAGGAUUACGCUGAGGCCC
Molecule: small nucleolar RNA, 81 nt
Organism: Oryctolagus cuniculus (rabbit)
Lineage: Eukaryota; Metazoa; Chordata; Mammalia; Lagomorpha; Leporidae
Gene: SNORD115
Rfam family: Small nucleolar RNA SNORD115
About the family: HBII-52 is a member of the C/D class of snoRNAs, which contain the C (UGAUGA) and D (CUGA) box motifs. HBII-52 is encoded in a tandemly repeated array with another C/D snoRNA, HBII-85, in the Prader-Willi syndrome (PWS) region of chromosome 15.
Source: Ensembl